UACGGGGGGGGCAAGCGUUGUUCGGAAUUACUGGGCGUAAAGGGCUCGUAGGUGGCCAACUAAGUCAUACGUGAAAUCCCUCGGCUUAACCGGGGAACUGCGUCUGAUACUGGAUGGCUUGAGUUUGGGAGAGGGACGCGGAAUUCCAGGUGUAGCGGUGAAAUGCGUAGAUAUCUGGAGGAACACCGGUGGCGAAGGCGGCGUCCUGGACCAACACUGACACUGAGGAGCGAAAGCCAGGGGAGCAAACGGG
Molecule: ribosomal RNA, 253 nt
Filed under: uncultured bacterium
Lineage: Bacteria
Description: partial 16S ribosomal RNA
Rfam family: Bacterial small subunit ribosomal RNA
Source: RNAcentral